Molecule: long non-coding RNA, 1459 nt
Filed under: Bemisia tabaci
Lineage: Eukaryota; Metazoa; Arthropoda; Insecta; Hemiptera; Aleyrodidae
Description: lncRNA ENSSSA1UGG000124
Source: RNAcentral
AACUGAUGGCAGCGUCCUUCGCAUACAGGGCUCAAUCCUUUUUGGCACUGACUUGAAUAUCACUUGGCAGUGUCAAAUAUUUUCCCCAGCAAGACUACUUGCCACUUUCAUCAGAGUUCAAAGCAUUACCAAUCGCCAUUUACAACCCCGAUCAAAUACCCUAUUAAACCUCGCAACCUCCGUCAUACUUGAGCGUAUAUUAUUCACAACCCCACUUGUUACAUGCAGCGGAUGGAAAUAGGGCUUGGGAACGGCUGCGCGGACAGAAAUCGAUCGGGGUGACCGGCAGAGCCCUCUCGCGGAAAACCCCCUAAGUUCUCGUUCGUGCGGUGCUCCCCGAUUUUACAUGGAGCCAGCCUCCUUCUCCCAGUAAUCAUGUGAAUCAGGUGCCUCGGAUCAACGAUUAUCUCAACCGUAUCCACUUUGAGACUCCAAUACUGUUCCCUCGACUCUGAUCUACCCCUGGAAUCUUGGCACUCAGGAAAAAAUUAAAAAUGAUAUCCGUAACAUGGCUGAGCACCCGGUAAAAAUGUCUUUUGGCCUGCUUCUCCUUCUCGUUUUGCGUUACUCAACAGGCGUUCUGGGAAGCAAUGCUGCGGCGAGUGAUACUUACAAGCGGGUCGGAUUCAGGCAUCAUGCAGCCGAGUUGCAACGGACCCAGCUCGGGGAGGGGGCGGGGGCGGGGGGCGACGCUGAACCUGACGCGCCUCCGGAUCCUGAUCAGGAGCACCCGUUGGGCACCGACGCCGACCCCGACGCCACCUCCCCGCUCAACUCCCGCGCACAUGCCCCGCUGGACACCGUCAGAUUCCCCAGACUCAACAAGGAUGGGGAUGACGACGGCCGUGACAAACCACGAGUCAGCUUACCCGGUGAUCGGCAACCGAAGGAGAGGACAGGCGGGGCUGUCUACGAAGAAGAACAACAUCGAGAAGAUUAUCUCCAACGGAAAUAUCCCGACGAAGUCCUCUCUGGUAAGACGAAAAUUUGAUCUCUUAACAAUUAGAAUAAAACCAUCAAAAUUUAGUCAAUUUUCAAAAAUAGUCAAUUUUCACACAAAUGAACGUUGUAAAGUUCCAACUCGCAAUGGGUCAGUUGCGAUGGUCACAGAAUCGUGUUACGGUGCUCAACUCAUGUAGAUUAGCUAAAACUAUGGAGAUCCGUCCAAACCGCAACUUUCUACAUCCAAUAUUAACCGAGAUACCGAACGCGCCGAACUCAGUGCGACCGGCGCGACGUUGAACGCAAAAAAGCGCCUGCAAGACUGGCAGAACACUUCACGCAUUGCACCAAACAGUGCGGUCGGCGCCGGACGCAUAUUAGCGCCAACAAGACUGCAUGAAUACUUCUCGCAUUGCGCCAAACGCAGUGCACUCUGUCAGUUGGCGUGAAUGUAAAUGGAACGCAUAUUACUCACGACUCCGUAGAGUAUUGUGUCUCUUGUGACCGGGCAAUUCAA